UACGUAGGGGGCAAGCGUUAUCCGGAUUCACUGGGCGUAAAGGGAGCGCAGGCGGCACGGCAAGUCCGGUGUGAAAGCCCGGGGCCCAACCCCGGGACUGCACUGGAAACUGCCGGGCUGGAGUGUCGGAGGGGCAGGCGGAAUUCCUGGUGUAGCGGUGAAAUGCGUAGAUAUCAGGAGGAACACCGGUGGCGAAGGCGGCCUGCUGGACGAUGACUGACGCUGAGGCUCGAAAGCGUGGGGAGCAAACAGG
This 253-nucleotide ribosomal RNA is filed under the name uncultured bacterium. RNAcentral's name for it is "partial 16S ribosomal RNA". It matches the Rfam family "Bacterial small subunit ribosomal RNA", at positions 524 to 776 of the family's 1533-position model. The record is from RNAcentral.